CCUACGGGAGACAGCAGUAGGGAAUAUUGCUCAAUGGGGGAAACCCUGAAGCAGCAACGCCGCGUGGAGGAUGAAGGUUUUCGGAUUGUAAACUCCUUUUGUUAGAGAAGAUAAUGACGGUAUCUAACGAAUAAGCACCGGCUAACUCCGUGCCAGCAGCCGCGGUAAUACGGAGGGUGCAAGCGUUACUCGGAAUCACUGGGCGUAAAGCGCGCGUAGGCGGGAUAGCAAGUCAGAUGUGAAAUCCUAUGGCUUAACCUUAGAACUGCAUUUGAAACUGUUAUUCUAGAGUAUGGUAGAGGUAGGUGGAAUGCGUGGUGUAGGGGUAAAAUCCGUAGAGAUCAAGAGGAAUACUCAUUGCGAAGGCGACCUGCUAGAACAUAACUGACGCUGAUGCGCGAAAGCGUGGGGAGCAAACAGGAUUAGAUACCCUAGUAGUC
Molecule: ribosomal RNA, 440 nt
Filed under: uncultured bacterium
Lineage: Bacteria
Description: partial 16S ribosomal RNA
Rfam family: Bacterial small subunit ribosomal RNA
Source: RNAcentral